This 71-nucleotide transfer RNA is filed under the name Loxodonta africana (African savanna elephant). It matches the Rfam family "tRNA". Rfam says of the family: Transfer RNA (tRNA) molecules are approximately 80 nucleotides in length. The record is from Rfam by way of RNAcentral. Lineage: Eukaryota; Metazoa; Chordata; Mammalia; Proboscidea; Elephantidae.
UCCUUGGUGGUUCAGUGGUAGAAUUCUUGCCUUCCACGUGGGAGACCUGGGUUCAAUUUCUAGCCAAUGCA